UAGGGAAUCUUCCGCAAUGGACGCAAGUCUGACGGAGCAACGCCGCGUGAGUGAAGAAGGAUUUCGGUUCGUAAAACUCUGUUGUUAGAGAAGAACAGCGCAUAGAGUAACUGUUAUGCGUGUGACGGUAUCUACCAGAAAGCCACGGCUAACUACGUGCCAGCAGCCGCGGUAAUACGUAGGUGGCAAGCGUUGUCCGGAUUUAUUGGGCGUAAAGCGAGCGCAGGCGGUCAAUUAAGUCUGAUGUGAAAGCCCCCGGCUCAACCGGGGAGGGUCAUUGGAAACUGGUUGACUUGAGUGCAGAAGAGGAGAGUGGAAUUCCAUGUGUAGCGGUGAAAUGCGUAGAUAUAUGGAGGAACACCAGUGGCGAAGGCGACUCUCUGGUCUGUAACUGACGCUGAGGCUCGAAAGCGUGGGUAGCAAACAGG
Molecule: ribosomal RNA, 428 nt
Filed under: Bacteroidota bacterium
Lineage: Bacteria; Pseudomonadati; Bacteroidota
Description: Bacteroidetes bacterium partial 16S ribosomal RNA
Rfam family: Bacterial small subunit ribosomal RNA
Source: RNAcentral